UUUCUGGCAGUCCAGUGGUUAGGACUCCACCCUUUCACUGUGGGGGCCUGGGUUCAGUUCCUGGUCAGAGAA
This 72-nucleotide transfer RNA is filed under the name Bos taurus (domestic cattle). It matches the Rfam family "tRNA". From Rfam's summary of the family: Transfer RNA (tRNA) molecules are approximately 80 nucleotides in length. Their secondary structure includes four short double-helical elements and three loops (D, anti-codon, and T loops). Further hydrogen bonds mediate the characteristic L-shaped molecular structure. tRNAs have two regions of fundamental functional importance: the anti-codon, which is responsible for specific mRNA codon recognition, and the 3' end, to which the tRNAs corresponding amino acid is attached (by aminoacyl-tRNA synthetases). tRNAs cope with the degeneracy of the genetic code in two manners: having more than one tRNA (with a specific anti-codon) for a particular amino acid; and 'wobble' base-pairing, i.e. permitting non-standard base-pairing at the 3rd anti-codon position. RNAcentral also lists the same sequence under 2 other names. The record is from Rfam by way of RNAcentral. Lineage: Eukaryota; Metazoa; Chordata; Mammalia; Artiodactyla; Bovidae.